ACAGGGGGGUCACGCGCAGGGUCGUAGGGGACCGCCUGGGGAUCCCCGGACGGCUGCGAGGAAUGAGCGGUUGGCUCGGGCUGGUUUCCUCCCUCCACCGCCUGCUUGUUUCGCCAUGCCCGGGCCGGACGGUGGGGCUGCAGCGGCGAAAGCGACUGAAGUCCGGGAGCAGUCGCAUGAGCUUCCCGGUCACCAGGAGGCCCCGGGAACAGACACCUCACCCUGACAUUGUGGCAGGAACUUCUGGAUUGCUUUCCAAAGUGGCUGCACUGUUUUCUAUCCCCACUGGGCAGGAAAACAUCUAAGAAAGGAGGCUCCCCCCUUCCCUUGCAGGGUUACCAGCAAUUAAAAAGAAGUACUAGAGAGGCAAAUAUCGGCAGUAUACAUCUAAGCGCUGGUCGGAAAAGAAGGAACUCAGCCCAAGAACUUGCCCAAUCUGAUACUGGAGGUGCCACUCAAGAACCACUCCCUCCAAGAUGUUUUCCUGGAUUUCCUCAGCCUAAAGUAAUCCCUCUUUUUCCUGGCUAUACCAUCUGGAACAGAUGACUUCCAAGGACACCGUAGCAAAGAAAAAGAGAACUGGAAGCCCAUGUGCCUUAAUCGCUUCAUCCUAGAGGAGGAGGAUAACCAGUGGAGCCUUUUCUGGAUUUCUCACUAGAAGUAAAGACCAAAUUUCCAGAAGGAACCUGAGAGAUAAAAAGUGGUUGGCUGCUCCUGACCUGACUCAUAGUGUUUAACUGAACCAUACCACUAGUGUAUACUAGUGUGUGUGUAUGUACAUGCAUACACACAUGCACACACACAUUCACACACAAUCCUAUGGUAUUUGGUGACUUUGGAUGCCCAGCUCUUGCAACAAUUUCCUGCUGUCAUUCUUUUCCCUUUGAAUCUCAGGGGUGAGCAAACUAAAGAAAUACUAUCAUCUUACUGCUUUUAGUAUAUUCCAUAGAAAAGGAGUGGCUGGAGUCAGUGUAGAUCAACCCAAGCAGUACAAAUCUGCCAGAAUUGCAGCUCAGCUUCCUUACCUCCAGCAUGUGUACCUUUCUGAAGGGUAGGCCCUUAAGCCAGACAUAAGUAAGUUAUCCACUCUGUGCAUAACUGUCUGACUUGGCUUAGAAGCAUGAAAGGGGCAGAAAUGUAAGAUGGGUAAAGAAGGGCUUCAUCUGAAAUAGGGCCAUGAUGAUUAGCUCUCUCUUUCCUUCCUUUGGCUUCAUUGCUGUAUUCCAUGUGGGUCUUGAUAUCUUGAAACUGGAUGAGAUACCCAAAUAGUCAGUCCCUGAAUAUAAAUCAUUUCCUUGUACAGAAUCACUGCCAAACUCAGUAUGGUUAAAAGAUUUUUAACACCCAGCUGCAGCAUUCACUCUGGUUAGAAUUGGCCAUUUAAAUUUAUUUCACAUAUGUAAGUAUCAUAUCCUUUAUAAUGCAUUCUUAAUUGUUGCUCAGUUCUUCCAGAUUGAAUUCCUUUAAAAAAUUCCUUAUGUAAUCUUUUAAUUCUAGUUGGAAAACAUCACUUGACAGUUGCUGUUUAUACAGGCAUGCCUCGUUUUAUUGUGCCUGGCUUUAUUGUACUUUGCAGAUACUGUGUUUUUCACAAAUGGAAGGUUUGUGGCAACCCUGCGUUAAGCAAGUCUGUUGGCACCAUUUUCUCGACAGCAUGUGCUAACUUUGUCUCUGUCUCACAUUUUGGUAAUUCUCUCAAUGUUUCAAACUUUUUCAUUAUGAUUACAUCUGUUAUGUGGAGCUGUGAUCAGUGAUCUUUGAUGUUAACAUUGUAAUUGUUUUGGGGUGCCACAACUGUGCCCAGAUAAGACAGUGAACUUAAUUGGUAAAUGUUUUAUGUGUUCAGACUGUUCCACUGACUAGCCCUUCUUCAAACUCUCUCACUCUCCUUGGGCCUCCCUAUUCCCUGAAAUACAACAAUAUUGAUAUUAAGCCAAUUAAUAACCCUACAAUGAUUUCCAAGUGUUUAAGUGAAAGGAAAGACAUGUAUGUUUCACCUUAAAUCAAAAGCUAGAAAUGGCCAGGCGUGGAGGCUCACGCCUGUAAUCCCAGCACUUUGGGAGGCCAAGGCGGGCGGAUCACAAGGUCAGGAGAUCGAGACCAUCCUGGCUAACACGGUGAAACCCUGUCUCUACUAAAAAAUACAAAAAAUUAGCCGGGCGUAGUGGCAGGCGCCUGUAGUCCCAGCUACAUGGGAGGCUGAGGCAGGAGAAUGGCGUGAACCUGGGAGGCGGAGCUUGCAGUGAGCCGAGAUCGCGCCACUGCAUUCCAGCCUGGGUGACAGAGCGAGACUCCAUCUCAAAAAAAAAAAAAAAAAAAAAAAAA
Long non-coding RNA from Homo sapiens (human), 2325 nucleotides. Ensembl annotates it as long intergenic non-protein coding RNA 1285. The record is from Ensembl. Lineage: Eukaryota; Metazoa; Chordata; Mammalia; Primates; Hominidae.